AACGAACGCUGGCGGCAGGCCUAACACAUGCAAGUCGAACGCUCCAGCAAUGGAGAGUGGCAGACGGGUGAGUAACGCGUGGGAACCUUCCCUAUGGUUCGGAAUAGCUCAGGGAAACUUGAGGUAAUACCGGAUAAGCCCUUCGGGGAAGGAUUAUCGCCAUUGGAUGGGCCCGCGUAGGAUUAGCUAGUUGGUGAGGUAACGGACUCACCAAGGCGACGAUCCUUAGCUGGUCUGAGAGGA
Molecule: ribosomal RNA, 243 nt
Filed under: uncultured bacterium
Lineage: Bacteria
Description: partial 16S ribosomal RNA
Rfam family: Bacterial small subunit ribosomal RNA
Source: RNAcentral